This 421-nucleotide ribosomal RNA is filed under the name uncultured bacterium. Its description in RNAcentral is "bacterial SSU rRNA". It matches the Rfam family "Bacterial small subunit ribosomal RNA", at positions 28 to 438 of the family's 1533-position model. The record is from RNAcentral.
GAUGAACGCUAGCGACAGGCUUAACACAUGCAAGUCGAGGGGCAGCAUGAUUUGUAGCAAUACAGAUUGAUGGCGACCGGCGCACGGGUGAGUAACGCGUAUGCAACUUACCUAUCAGAGGGGGAUAGCCCGGCGAAAGUCGGAUUAAUACCCCAUAAAACAGGGGUCCCGCAUGGGAAUAUUUGUUAAAGAUUCAUCGCUGAUAGAUAGGCAUGCGUUCCAUUAGGCAGUUGGUGGGGUAACGGCCCACCAAACCGACGAUGGAUAGGGGUUCUGAGAGGAAGGUCCCCCACAUUGGAACUGAGACACGGUCCAAACUCCUACGGGAGGCAGCAGUGAGGAAUAUUGGUCAAUGGACGAGAGUCUGAACCAGCCAAGUAGCGUGAAGGAUGAAGGUCCUACGGAUUGUAAACUUCUUUUA